UCCUCAGUAGCUCAGUGGUAGAGCAAUUGGCUGUUAACCAAUUGGCCAUAGGUUCAAAUCCUAUCUGAGGAG
RNAcentral lists this transfer RNA (72 nucleotides) under Astrosyne radiata. RNAcentral's name for it is "tRNA-Asn". It matches the Rfam family "tRNA". Rfam says of the family: Transfer RNA (tRNA) molecules are approximately 80 nucleotides in length. Their secondary structure includes four short double-helical elements and three loops (D, anti-codon, and T loops). Lineage: Eukaryota; Bacillariophyta; Fragilariophyceae; Cyclophorales; Cyclophoraceae. The record is from RNAcentral.